GCCAGGCUUGGUGGCACAUGCUUGUAGUCCUAGCUACUUGGGAGGCUGAGGCGGGAUGACCGCUUGAAGCCAGGAGUUCUGGGCUGGAGUGUGCUAUGCCUAUCAGUAUCCACACUAAGCUCAGCAUCAAUAUGGAGACCUCCCGGGAGCGGGGGACCAUCAGGUUGCCUAAUGAGGGGUGAAGUGGCCCUGGUUGGAAAUGAGGUAGGUCAAAACUCCUGUGCUAAUCAGUAGUGGGAUCGCGUCUGUGAACAGUCACUGUGCUCCAGCCUAAACAACAUGGUGAGAUCCUGUCUCU
This 298-nucleotide signal recognition particle RNA is filed under the name Carlito syrichta (Philippine tarsier). RNAcentral describes it as "Metazoan signal recognition particle RNA (ENSTSYG00000037127.1)". It matches the Rfam family "Metazoan signal recognition particle RNA". Rfam says of the family: The signal recognition particle (SRP) is a universally conserved ribonucleoprotein. It is involved in the co-translational targeting of proteins to membranes. The eukaryotic SRP consists of a 300-nucleotide 7S RNA and six proteins: SRPs 72, 68, 54, 19, 14, and 9. Lineage: Eukaryota; Metazoa; Chordata; Mammalia; Primates; Tarsiidae. The record is from RNAcentral.